CGGCCGCAAGGGCUGUGAGGACGGUGUCUCUCACAAUGACACAAUUGGCUUUCAGGCUUUGGCAUCACGAAUACUUUGUUUGAACCUUUGCUUAAAGCAUGCUUCCCCCCUUGGAGAGUGGUGAUUUGAAUUGAAUAUUCGUCCAUUUAAAAUAAAGAUCGGAUUAUACCGAUUUCUUCUCUCGAUGAAGUGAAAGGAGCAAAUUAGGUUAUGUUAUGAUUCAUUUAGAGUUCUGCAACAGCAACAACGAACAACCUCUCGAAGGAAGAUUCAAGGAAAGCUGAAGUAAUUUAAUUCUGUUACUCGGCAUUCUGCAUUUGAAAACUAAACGACAUCAGUGUGGGGUGUCUUGCUCUUCUUAUUUUUUUUCCACCGUUCAUUGCCAUCACUGCUGCCAUUGCUAUUUGCCACCACGGUUGAUUCGUUAAUUCCCUUAAACCACAUUCCUCCCCCUGCCGGACGAAACAGGCCGCUAUCUAAAGUUGCAAAGAGUGUGUGAGGUCACUUUGGAGCUGUUGCACUUUGGUUGGGCCCAGUAACUUCUGUAGAUUGCAGGAGACACCAGGUUUUUCGAUGAUUUAAUGUGGUUGUCAGAAUGGGAUAGACAGGAAUGAGAAUUAGGUUCUUCAAUUACUCUACGCCGUAGAUUAAAUGAUUUGUAUUGUGAUAUAGAGCCUCCUCGGGCUUUCAUCAUUUUCAUUUGUCAUUUUGUUGUCGAGAUAAUGUCUCUCUUUAGUCGAUUCUUUUAUAGAAGACCUCCUGAUGGCUUGCUGGAAUUUGUGGACAGAGUAUAUAUUUUUGAUUCCUGCUUCUCAACAGAGGCUUUGCCGGAUGGAAUGUAUCAAAUUUACUUGCAUGAAAUUAUAACUGAGCUACAUGAAGUGUAUGCAGAAUCUUCAUUUCUUGCUUUUAACUUCCGUGAAGGUGAGAAGAGAAGUCAGUUUGCAGAAAUUCUGUGUGAGUACGAUGUCACUGUCAUGGAUUAUCCACGACAAUACGAAGGUUGUCCUCUCCUUCCGUUGUCCUUGAUACAGCAUUUCUUACGUGUUUGUGAGAGUUGGCUAUCUCUAGGGAAUCAUCAAAAUAUCAUCCUGCUUCACUGUGAAAGAGGGGGUUGGCCACUCUUAGCUUUUCUCCUAGCUAGCUUUUUGAUUUUCAGAAAAUUCCACAGUGGUGAGCAUAAGAUUCUUGAAAUUGUUCAUCGGGAGGCUCCAAAAGGGCUAUUACAGCUUUUAUCACCUCUAAACCCAUUCCCAUCUCAGCUACGCUACCUCCAUUAUGUGGCGAGGAGAAACAUAUCUCCAGAAUGGCCACCAAGUGAGCGGGCUCUUUCUUUAGAUUGUCUCAUUCUUCGAGCAAUUCCAAGUUUCGACUCCGAGAAUGGAUGCAGGCCAAUUAUCCGCAUUUUUGGUCGAAAUCUCCUCAGCAAGGAUGGGCUUUCAACCCAAAUGCUUUUCUCUAUGUCCAAAAAAAAUAAAUCCCUCCGCCAUUACCAACAGGUGGACUGUGAUGUAAUUAAAAUUGACAUCCAAUGUUUGGUUCAAGGAGAUGUUGUUUUGGAGUGUCUUCACUUAGACUUGGAUCCAGAAAGGGAAGUUAUGAUGUUCCGAAUGAUGUUCAAUACUGCUUUUAUCAGAUCCAACAUAUUGAUGCUGAAUUGGGAGGACUUGGAUAUUCUUUGGGACUCCAAGGAGCGAUACCCAAAAGGUUUUCAGGCUGAGGUUCUCUUUGGUGAAGUUGAGAGUAUUUCUCCCCCUAGGGUUCCAACUGUCACUUUAAAUGGUGAAGAGAAAGGUGGAUUGCCCAUUGAAGCGUUUUCUAGGGUUCAAGAACUUUUUAGUGAUGUUGAAUGGGUUGAUAACAGUGAUGAUGCUGCUUUGUGGUUUCUGAAGCAAAUUUCUUCAAAUGCUUUGCAAGAGAAAAUUGAAGAACUCCUCUUAAGUGAUGGGAAGGUCUUGUCAAGAGUUAAUAGUGGUGUCAGUUUUGAGACAUCAUCUACAGAAUCUGAAGAAGAAAAUGACUCAUUGAAGAAUGCCAACAUGUUGGAUUCUAUGUAUACUCCAUUUGCAACAAGCGCUAUAGAAGAUAAUCUUUUAGCUCAAGAUAUUGAAUUAAAAGGUGCUAUGCCCCUAGAAGAUACUAUUUCCCAUGUUUCAGCUCCAAUGUCUAAAAACGUUGGCGAUGCAUCAUCACAUCUUCCUUCAGAUCAAAGUACAGAAACUUCAUUGCUUCCUUUUCCUCCCCCUCCCCCUCCUCCACCACCACCACCGCCACCACCUCUUGCCUUUUCAACUCCCAAUAAAGGAGUUCCACUACCACCUCCUCCAUUGCCACCACCUCCUUUUUUUUCAACAUCAACCACAUGCCCUCCACCACCACCACCACCACUUCCACCUCUACCUUCUCAAGUUGCUUCUGGUAGGGACCAACCACCACCACCACCGCCACCGCCACCACCACCACUUCCACCUCUACCUUCUCAAGUUGCUUCUGGUAGGGACCAACCACCACCACCACCGCCACCACCGCCACCACCCCCUCUUGUUAUCUCUACUAGAAGCCCUCCUCCGCCACCUCCUCUACCUCCGCCCAUUACUUCUUCCAAAACCCCUUUACCACCUCCUUUGCCUAAUUCCACUAGUUCUGCAGCUCCUCCACCUCCUCCUCCUCCACCGCCACCUAUUCAUUCUAGAGGCCCACCACCACCACCACCACCACCACCACCACCUAUUAAUUCUAGAGGCCAACCACCACCACCACCACCUCCUCCUCCUGCUCUUAAUUCUAGAGGCCAACCACCACCACCACCACCUCCUCCUCCUGCUCCCUCUAGUUCUGGCAAUGUUAGACAACCUCCGCCACCACCGCCACCACCACGUCUCUGCCCUUCAUCAGGUAAUGCCCCCCCACCUCCACCAUUGCCUCCUAAUGGUUCUAUUCAUGGGGCUCCCCCUCCUCCUCCCCCACCUCCUUCUGGCCCUUCUCGGCAAGGUCCAAUUCCUCCACCACCACCACAAGCCCCAAAGCCUCCUGGUGUUGUUCCUCCUCCACCACCAAUUCAUGGAAAUCCCCCAGGUCCGCCACCACCACCUGGCACAAGGAGUUCUACUGCACCGCCCCCACCACCACCAUCUAUUGGAAGGGGGAGAACCUCAUCAGGACAGGCUGCUUCCAAUCAGGGUAGAGGUCGUGGUGGUGCUAGUGCGCCUAAGAAAGCUUCACUAAAGCCAUUACAUUGGGUGAAGGUGACUCGAGCAGUGCAAGGAAGUUUAUGGGCUGAUUCUCAGAGACAGGAAAACCAACCAAGGGCUCCUGAAAUCGAUAUUUCAGAGCUUGAAACCCUAUUUUCAGCAGCUGUUGUUUCUGAUGGGAGUGGAACAGGGGGUGGAGUUCGGCGUGGUUCCAACAUUAACAAGCCAGAGAAAGUGCAAUUGAUUGAGUUACGGAGAGCAAAUAACUGUGAAAUAAUGCUUACAAAAAUAAAAAUGCCUCUUCCGGAUAUGAUAAAUGCAGUUUUGGCUUUGGAUUCAUCUAUUCUAGACAUUGAUCAGGUUGAGAAUCUAAUCAAAUUUUGUCCUACAAAAGAAGAAAUGGAAAUGCUGAAGAAUUAUACCGGGGACAAGGAAAUGCUUGGAAAGUGUGAACAGUUUUUCUUGGAGCUGAUGAAAGUUCCUCGAGUAGAAUCCAAGUUACGAGUAUUUUCAUUUAGAAUCAACUUUUCUACUCAGGUGAAGGAGUUAUGGUCUAACUUAAAUAUAAUUAACAGUGCUGCUAGAGAGGUAAAAGAGUCUGUGAAGUUGCGCCAGAUAAUGCAGACAAUUCUCACUCUAGGAAAUGCAUUAAAUCAGGGCACAGCACGAGGAUCUGCUAUAGGAUUCAAAUUGGACAGUCUUCUCAAAUUGUCAGACACACGUGCAAGGAACAAUAAGAUGACUUUAAUGCAUUAUUUGUGCAAGCUCCUUGGUGAGAAAAUGCCUGAGUUGUUGGACUUUGAUAAGGACCUGGUUCAUUUGGAAGUAGCAUCAAAGAUCCAACUGAAGUCUUUAGCUGAAGAAAUGCAAGCAGUAAGCAAAGGUCUUGAGAAGGUUGAACAAGAGCUCACUGCCUCAGAAAACGAUGGUGCUAUCUCUGUGGGCUUUCAAAAGGCUUUAAAGAAUUUUCUUGAUACUGCUGAAGCUGAAGUGAGGUCACUUAUAUCCUUGUAUUCUGAAGUGGGAAGGAAUGCCGAUUCCUUAUCUCAAUAUUUUGGGGAAGAUCCAGCUCGGUGUCCCUUUGAGCAAGUGACAUCGAUCUUGGUGGUCUUUGUUAAGAUGUUCAAUAAAUCGCGUGAGGAAAAUGUUAAACUGGCUGAUGCUGAAAGGAAAAAACUGGAAAAAGAAGCAAUGAAAGAGCGGGCAAACUCUUCUGCAAGAAAAGAAAAUACUGAUAAACUUGGUUCUCAGAAGCACAUAAACUGAACAACUUGGAUUGCAGAGCAAUACCGUGUUCGUGGCAGAUGUCACAUCUAAUUAGUUAUCCAUCUGCCACAGGCACGGGGCACGGGAAUUCGUAGGGCUAUGUAUUAUACUUCUCCAAGGACUGGUACGGGAUAGCUAGUGACGAGUCAGGCUUCAUGGUUGGUAUCACCAUCUUGGGCUGAAGAAUAGCAGGCGGAGAGGCUCCAUGGCUGGUAUCAUUGGCCCUGAUGAACUUGAUCGAGGCCCCGACUUGAUAGUAAGAUACCCAUUUUCACCAGAGUUGUGCGCGUACGAGGGGGAUGGUAUCCACCAUCUUGGGCAGAAGAAUAGCCGACGGAGAUGGAGGAAGUUGGGAUUUAUGAGGAGAGGCGGGAGGGCAUUUACCAACGAUGGCGGAGACGAUUCAACACCAUCAUUUUUACCAUCGCCAACUCGAUUAACAACACCACUUCAGCUUUUGUCGUGUGAUUCAGUCCAAACCCUUUUGAUAUCUCAAAGCAACAGACAUCUGGUCACAAAUCAAGUAGAAAAGUGCCACUCUGAAAGUCCAAACCCUCCUUCGCUUUUCAAAUAAUUUGGGCAGAAUGUUUACAUCAGUCUGCCAGUGUAGUCUAAUCUUCCUCGAUGUCACCCUGCUACUGUUGUCUAAUCUUCCCCGAAUCUGGCCUUCUUCUUUGUUGAAUCCAAUCAUUUGAAGUUUGGGGGUUCUUACAGGAAAACCAGAAGAGGGUUCCACCAUCA
Nelumbo nucifera (sacred lotus) is the source of this 5198-nucleotide RNA transcript. It is a transcript of the gene named Formin Homology 14, with no coding region annotated. The record is from RefSeq and is a predicted model, not a curated record. NCBI's taxonomy places the organism in Eukaryota, Viridiplantae, Streptophyta, Magnoliopsida, Proteales, Nelumbonaceae.